GAUUAACGCUGGCGGCGUGCAUAACACAUGCAAGUCGAACGAUGAAACUUAGUCGACUUCUUCGGAAAGACACUAAGCGGAAUAGUGGCGAACGGGUGAGUAACGCGUGAGUAACCUGCCUUACACACGGGGAUAGCCUUUGGAAACGACGAAUAAUACCCUAUAAAACCAUUAAAGCACAUGCUAGAAUGGUCAAAGUGAUAGCGGUGUAAGAUGGACUUGCGUCUGAUUAGCUAGUUGGUGAGAUAAAAGCUCACCAAGGCAACGAUCAGUAGACGGCGUGAGAGAGUGUACGGCCACAUUGGGACUGAGACACGGCCCAGACUCCUACGGGAGGCAGCAGUGGGGAAUAUUGCACAAUGGGGGAAAACCUGAUGCAGCGACGCCGCGUGAUUUAGAAGGCCUUCGGGUUGUAAAAAUCUUUUGUAUAGGAAGAAAAUGACAGUACUAUACUAAUAAGGUCCGGCUAAUUACGUG
RNAcentral lists this ribosomal RNA (477 nucleotides) under uncultured bacterium. RNAcentral describes it as "partial 16S ribosomal RNA". It matches the Rfam family "Bacterial small subunit ribosomal RNA", at positions 28 to 507 of the family's 1533-position model. The record is from RNAcentral.